This is a long non-coding RNA of Cryptomeria japonica (Japanese cedar), 564 nucleotides long. RefSeq lists it as uncharacterized. The record is from RefSeq and is a predicted model, not a curated record. NCBI's taxonomy places the organism in Eukaryota, Viridiplantae, Streptophyta, Pinopsida, Cupressales, Cupressaceae. The transcript is spliced from 2 exons.
AUUGUUGGCAUCUAGCUCUGAUAUAAAAUGUUUAAUGACAUCAUACACAAUACAACAUAAUAGCAUCCAGCCACUCCAACAAUCCAAUCAUAUGCGACAAAACCAAGUACAGGAGGAAGGGCAGAGCCAGCCUUAUUUAUUCCAUUGUUUUACAAUAACAGCUCAUUCAACAAGUCUUCCUCUAUGUUUGUUCAAUCUCUAGUUUAAGACUUGAGAAUCUAAACUUGUCUCUGUGUAUUCUGCACAAGAGAUGGCAAUCAGGGAAAAUUUGAGGGAAAUGGUGCUUGGCUUCUUAAGGAACAAUGUAAUUUUAGGGAAGGCAGAAGCAAAUGCUCUUGCUCUGGGCCCUUUCAGUGAUGGAAGUGCUAUAGAGUUUCUGAUGUGGGUUGCCUUGCUUCUCACAUAUAUUUUGCAUUAACUUGAAUUGGGUCUUGUGCACAAGUCAAGAUCCAGCUGAUGGUCUUGCAAAUAGUGUAUUUGGGAGCCAGUAUUUGAGGGAGAGAAUGAUAAUCAUGGUGUAUGUAGAGAUAAAUUUAUGAGCAAUUUGCCUGCGGCUUGAUUUUA